RNA transcript from Mangifera indica (mango), 3201 nucleotides. It is a transcript of the gene named glycosyltransferase BC10-like, with no coding region annotated. The transcript has 4 exons. NCBI's taxonomy places the organism in Eukaryota, Viridiplantae, Streptophyta, Magnoliopsida, Sapindales, Anacardiaceae. The record is from RefSeq and is a predicted model, not a curated record.
UUCACGAAAAAGGCGACCGCGACAAAGCGCCAAAGCCAACCACAGUGUGAUCAUCGAACAUUCUGAAAUUCUCUAGAUUUCGGUGUUGUAUAUCAUCUCUUGUGAUUUCUUUGUUUUCGACAUUCUCAACUUUCUCCAUCUCUCUCUUUCUUCUUCCUUCCCUAACUUCAUUCUUUCUUUUUUCUUUUUUGAAUUUUCUGCUUCUUGCACGUCGCGAUUCCAGCUCUGGGUGGAGUUAAAAAGAUCUAUGACUAUGGUUCGUAUUGUUGUCAAGAAAAAGUUAAGUGGGAAUAAGUUGCUUUGGAUCUGAAUCAGAAGGCGAAAUUCGAUUUAGUUGAGUUAUGAAGAUGCAAGCAAGGGUCGUUCCGUUGGAGGAAGGCAAAGACCCUUCACUUACAAACAAGACGAAUCAGUCUAAAGCGUUGCCGCUGAGACUGUUUCAGUUAUUUGGUCUGUUUCUGAUGCUGUGUAUCGCCGUUGCAUUCAUUAGUAUUUACACAAUCCGUCUUUUUGGAGUCCAAAGUGUAGUGACAACGGUUAAGUCCAAUCUUGAGGCAUGCUUUGAAAAAGAAAAACCCAGUGCUUUGGAUAAUUGGAUAAAACCUCCAUCAAAUUUAAUGCACACUAUGACUGAUAAAGAGCUUUUGUGGAGAGCAUCAUUGGUUCCUCGAAUAAAGAAGUACCCCUUUCGGAGAGUUCCGAAAAUUGCAUUUAUGUUUUUGGCAUUGGGGCCACUCCCACUCGAACCUCUUUGGGAGAAGUUCUUCAAGGGGCAUGAAGGGCUAUAUUCGAUCUAUGUUCAUUCAUUGCCAACUUACGAGGCCAAAUAUCCAUCAUCUUCAAUUUUUAAUGGGAGACAAAUCCCAAGUCAGGCCUCUGAAUGGGGAAGAAUGAGCAUGUGCGAUGCAGAGAGAAGACUCCUUGCUAACGCAUUGCUUGACAUCUCCAAUGAAUGGUUCAUUCUUGUCUCUGAAACCUGCAUUCCUCUAUAUAACUUCUCCGCCAUCUACCACUACAUAAUGAAGUCCAAAUAUAGUUUCAUGGGUUCAUUUGAUGACCCUGGACCAUAUGGGAGAGGACGAUAUAAUGAGAACAUGGCACCUGUGGUGAACAUUACCCAGUGGCGUAAAGGAUCUCAGUGGUUUGAAGUUAAUCGAAAGCUGGCUGUCUACAUUGUGGAAGAUACUACAUUUUAUCUGAAAUUUGAAAAAUUCUGUCGACCCGCAUGUUAUGUGGAUGAACACUAUUUUCCCACGAUGCUAGCCAUUCAAGCACCAAACCACUUAGCAAACAGAAGCCUCACUUGGACGGACUGGUCAAGGGGUGGAGCUCAUCCGGCUACCUUUGGAAGAAAUGAUAUCACAGAAGAAUUUUUCCAGAAAAUUUUUGAAGGUCAAGAAUGCACAUAUAAUAACCAGCCCUCUUCAACUUGUUUUCUCUUUGCAAGAAAAUUUGCACCAAGUGCUUUAGAACCUUUGAUGAAUAUAUCAUCAAUAGUUUUGGGCUUUUGAAGCUUUUGAGAAAUGAAAUAACCUUUCAAUUCUGAAUUCUUGAAGAAUACUAGAAAGCAGGUGGUUAGGAGCUUGUCUCUUUCAUCCCUGCAUCGUAUAUGAGGCAUCUUAUAUUUUUUUGUGUACAGAGGCUGGCUGACUACAGAGAUCUGGAUAUGGAAAGGGGAGAGUCAAAAUGAGUUCACAAUUUAAGGUGGAAUUUCACCAUUUCACUUCUAAGCCAACAUUAUUAUUAAUACAAGCGCAAAUACCUCGCAUGUGGAAGAUGACGGCUCUUAAUUUCCAAAGUCUUUCAAGCUGGUUCAUAUGUCGAUGUCAAUUUUGCCUGUGUCUUUAGCUUGAAGAUGAGGAAGAUGGAAUUAGUGCAUCGUGAGGAAUUGGCAAGCAAAGUUUGCCUCAAGUUUAGCGAGUUAAAAUUGAUGUUACAACGUUGUUCCUAGUCGUCACAACUAGCAUCACAGCCCGAUUAAGUGUUGUUGAUAGCAAUCAAGAUUGAAAUGUUGUUGUUCUUCAAUUUGAGAGGAGAUGUGAUGGUCAAGAAGGAGAAUGUCGAAAAAGGUGAAAUGAGCUCAAAUUUCAUUAUUCUUUCUGAUUGGGUAUCGAGAUUUAGGUCUUGAUCUCGAAGUGGUUUUAAUAGUUUAUUUGUAGACUUUAUUGAAGUGGCAAGACAGACACCGACGACUCUUAAGUGUUUUCCAAAUUAAAAACAGAAAUAUAAAAUAAAAAUAAAAAUUUUAAAUAUUUAGAUCCAACUUACUUUGUGAACAGAGACAGACAGAUCAGCAGAAAUUUCUGGAAACCCUGCAUUUCAAUUUCUCGUGAUUCAAAUUCGAAUUAAAAAAUUAACAAUCUCUUUCUUGACCACCUUCCGUUGGCCCUACCACUCGUCCCACGUGGGUCCCUCUGUUAAAGAAAUUCCGUGACAACCGAACCGAUCUCCAAUUAUUAAGCAUUCUUUUAACCCCACUCUCAAAUCAAUUCCACGCGCUUCAGCAUUAAUGUGAACCAAAUUCCUUUCCAAGAAGUAUUUCCAGAAUCGAAACCUUAUCAGUCGCGUGAUAUCUGAAAAAAGUGGGACCUACUACUGAACCAGCUGUCAACUGGAAGUCUCUUUCUAUACCUUUCACGACCGCCUAUAAAUAGAAAACCCUUCUAUUUUUUUUCUCUCACCAAAAAUACUACAAAUUACUAAGCUUUCUACUUCUUCACUCUAAACUGUUCUAGUAACUCAUCACCGGAAAUGGCUUCAGUUUUUACUUUCAUGAUGGUGCUGGUUGUGGCUGCCAUGGCUCUCGGCGGUGUUGUAGCUCAAGAAGUGGCGUCCCCUGCGCCAGCGCCUCUCUCCGGAACCGCCUCGAUCUCGCCUUCUAUAGCUUCUGCUGGUUUGGCUCUUGUUGUGUCUUUUAUUUUUUGUUUCACUCUAAGGAUCUAAAUUGCCGUUAGCCUAUGAUUGAUGUGGCACUAGCUUAGAUGUAGUGAGUGGUUUCUUUCUUUAUUAGGAUUUAUGUGCUAGAUCUAGUGUUUUGUGUGUGAGUAUAUAUAUGUAUACAUAUAUGGAGCAUAAGACGAUGAUAUUGUGUGGUUGCCUUGGCUUGGCGAUUAGUAUUAUUAAUACGUGAUUUAUUGUAUUUGGUGCUUCAUUUCUAUGUACUUAAAUAUUGAUUUAUUUUAUUUCAUUGUUUCUGUUUAA